UGAAUCUUUUAGCCUUACAAUUUCUUUGGAA
This 31-nucleotide non-coding RNA is filed under the name Mus musculus (house mouse). The record is from RNAcentral. Lineage: Eukaryota; Metazoa; Chordata; Mammalia; Rodentia; Muridae.